GAGAGUACAGCUCAGUGGUAGAGUGUUUGCCUAGCAUGCACGAGGUCCUGGGUUCAAUCCCCAGUAUUUCUA
Molecule: transfer RNA, 72 nt
Filed under: Camelus bactrianus (Bactrian camel)
Lineage: Eukaryota; Metazoa; Chordata; Mammalia; Artiodactyla; Camelidae
Also listed under: 2 other names
Rfam family: tRNA
About the family: Transfer RNA (tRNA) molecules are approximately 80 nucleotides in length. Their secondary structure includes four short double-helical elements and three loops (D, anti-codon, and T loops).
Source: Rfam by way of RNAcentral